UACCCCAAACCGACACAGGUGGUCAGGUAGAGAAUACUCAGGCGCUUGAGAGAACUCGGGUGAAGGAACUAGGCAAAAUGGUGCCGUAACUUCGGGAGAAGGCACGCUGGCGGUAGGUAAAGUCCCUCGCGGACAGAGCUGAAGCCAGUCGAAGAUACCAGCUGGCUGCAACUGUUUAUUAAAAACACAGCACUGUGCAAACACGAAAGUGGACGUAUACGGUGUGACGCCUGCCCGGUGCUGGAAGGUUAAUUGAUGGGGUCAGCCGUAAGGCGAAGCUCCUGAUCGAAGCCCCAGUAAACGGCGGCCGUAACUAUAACGGUCCUAAGGUAGCGAAAUUCCUUGUCGGGUAAGUUCCGACCUGCACGAAUGGCGUAAUGAUGGCCAGGCUGUCUC
Molecule: ribosomal RNA, 396 nt
Filed under: Proteus mirabilis
Lineage: Bacteria; Pseudomonadati; Pseudomonadota; Gammaproteobacteria; Enterobacterales; Morganellaceae
Description: partial 23S ribosomal RNA
Rfam family: Bacterial large subunit ribosomal RNA
Source: RNAcentral